CAGUCGCCGCGGUAAUACGAGGGGGGCAAGCGUUGUUCGGAUUUAUUGGGCGUAAAGGGUGCGUAAGCGGCUUGACAAGUCUUGUGUGAAAUCUAUGGGCUCAACCCAUAGUCUGCACGGGAAACUGUCGGGCUUGAGAAUGGGAGAGGUGAGUGGAACUGCGAGUGUAGAGGUGAAAUUCGUAGAUAUUCGCAAGAACACCGGUGGCGAAGGCGGCUCACUGGUCCGGAACUGACGCUGAGGCACGACAGCGUGGGGAGCAAACAGGAUUAGAUACCCGGGUAGUCCCUGUCUCUUAUAC
RNAcentral lists this ribosomal RNA (301 nucleotides) under uncultured bacterium. Its description in RNAcentral is "partial 16S ribosomal RNA". It matches the Rfam family "Bacterial small subunit ribosomal RNA", at positions 509 to 807 of the family's 1533-position model. The record is from RNAcentral.